CAGCCGCCGCGGGAAUACGUAGGGGGCAAGCGUUAUCCGGAAUAACUGGGCGUAAAGGGUGCGCAGGUGGUUUAACAAGUUAGUGGUGAAAGGCAUAGGCUCAACCAAUGUAAGCCAUUAAAACUGUUUAACUUGAGUGCAGGAGAGGAAAGUGGAAUUCCUAGUGUAGCGGUGAAAUGCGUAGAUAUUAGGAGGAAUACCAGUGGCGAAGGCGACUUUCUGGACUGCAACUGGCACUGAGGCACGAAAGCGUGGGGAGCAAACAGGAUUAGAUACCCCUGUAGUCCCUGUCUCUUAUACA
RNAcentral lists this ribosomal RNA (301 nucleotides) under uncultured bacterium. RNAcentral's name for it is "partial 16S ribosomal RNA". It matches the Rfam family "Bacterial small subunit ribosomal RNA", at positions 509 to 808 of the family's 1533-position model. The record is from RNAcentral.